Molecule: ribosomal RNA, 400 nt
Filed under: uncultured bacterium
Lineage: Bacteria
Description: partial 16S ribosomal RNA
Rfam family: Bacterial small subunit ribosomal RNA
Source: RNAcentral
AAUAUUGCACAAUGGGGGAAACCCUGAUGCAGCAACGCCGCGUGAAGGAUGAAGGUUUUCGGAUCGUAAACUUCUAUCAGUAGGGACGAAAGAAAUGACGGUACCUAACUAAGAAGCCCCGGCUAACUACGUGCCAGCAGCCGCGGUAAUACGUAGGGGGCGAGCGUUAUCCGGAAUUAUUGGGCGUAAAGGGUGCGUAGGCGGCCUUUUAAGUCAGAUGUGAAAGGCUACGGCUUAACCGUAGUUAGCAUUUGAAACUAAAAGGCUUGAGUGCAGGAGAGGAGAGUGGAAUUCCUAGUGUAGCGGUGAAAUGCGUAGAUAUUAGGAGGAACACCAGUGGCGAAGGCGACUCUCUGGACUGCAACUGACGCUGAGGCACGAAAGCGUGGGGAGCGAACAG